UACGUAGGGUGCGAGCGUUGUCCGGAAUUAUUGGGCGUAAAGAGCUCGUAGGCGGUGUGUCGCGUCGGCCGUGAAAACCUGGGGCUUAACUCUGGGCGUGCGGUCGAUACGGGCAUCACUGGAGUUCGGCAGGGGAGACUGGAAUUCCUGGUGUAGCGGGGAAAUGCGCAGAUAUCAGGAGGAACACCGGUGGCGAAGGCGGGUCUCUGGGACGGUACUGACGCUGAGGAGCGAAAGCGUGGGGAGCGAACAGG
RNAcentral lists this ribosomal RNA (254 nucleotides) under uncultured bacterium. RNAcentral describes it as "partial 16S ribosomal RNA". It matches the Rfam family "Bacterial small subunit ribosomal RNA", at positions 524 to 776 of the family's 1533-position model. The record is from RNAcentral.